RNAcentral lists this ribosomal RNA (460 nucleotides) under uncultured bacterium. Its description in RNAcentral is "partial 16S ribosomal RNA". It matches the Rfam family "Bacterial small subunit ribosomal RNA", at positions 338 to 795 of the family's 1533-position model. The record is from RNAcentral.
CCUACGGGAGGCAGCAGUGAGGAAUAUUGGUCAAUGGGCGAGAGCCUGAACCAGCCAAGUCGCGUGAAGGAUGAAGGAUCUAUGGUUUGUAAACUUCUUUUAUAUGGGAAUAAAGUGAGGAACGUGUUCCUUUUUGUAUGUACCAUAUGAAUAAGCAUCGGCUAACUCCGUGCCAGCAGCCGCGGUAAUACGGAGGAUGCGAGCGUUAUCCGGAUUUAUUGGGUUUAAAGGGUGCGUAGGUGGUUAAUUAAGUCAGCGGUGAAAGUUUGUGGCUCAACCAUAAAAUUGCCGUUGAAACUGGUUGACUUGAGUAUAUUUGAGGUAGGCGGAAUGCGUGGUGUAGCGGUGAAAUGCAUAGAUAUCACGCAGAACUCCGAUGGCGAAGGCAGCUUACUAAACUAUAACUGACACUGAAGCACGAAAGCGUGGGGAGCAAACAGGAUUAGAUACCCUAGUAGUC